AGUUGGCCUCUGACUCUGUUGCUUGGACCCACGCUCAGAGAGCUUGACCGCGAAGAACUGGUUCCCGGGCUCCGAGUGGCCAAGAUUUCAGAGAUUCGUUGCAAGGUUGGCGCACCCAGGAGGACCGUUGAGGACGAACAAGGCAGCGGCAUUGGCGAAGUUUCUAGAAACAAAGCUACCCCGAUUUCUCUCGCAUCUCCAACUCCAGCGAUUUCGACAGCGCCUUCACUUGCAUUGUCAUCACCCACUUCCAUUUGGAUCACAUUGGUGCACUUCCUUACUUCACGGAAGUAUGUGGGUGCAGCGGGCCAAUAUACAUGACGGCUGAUUUGGUUGCUUAGUGGAUUGCUAAAAAUUGUUUUCAAGAUUGCCGUGUUUGUUUUUUCUCGACAUCGUUUCCCCGAAUCCUAAUGUUGAGAAAGCAGUAGUGCCAAAGGAAGAGAUCUUAGAUUUUGAGUUGUCACCUGAGCCCUCGAACACAAGGCAAUUUGAGAACUGAUCAGUACCAUCAAAGCUCCAAUAUGUGCAUUGCAGAUUAGAAGUCCGGAACCUUGUUGGAGAAUCUAAAACAGGUAAAGUUUAAAGAAAAUUUCAUUGUCAAUUUAAGCAUGUAUACUUUGUUAUGUGGCCAGGAAAAUUUUUACAGCUAUAAGCUUCUAUUGACCAAGACCAAGUGAUUGGUCUAAUUAAUGGUUCUCUGCUUCAUGUAAUCCAUAAAGUUCCGGGCUCAAAUCUUCUAAUCAAUACCUUGGACCAUUCUUUCUUGUA
This is a long non-coding RNA of Quercus lobata, 768 nucleotides long. RefSeq lists it as uncharacterized. Lineage: Eukaryota; Viridiplantae; Streptophyta; Magnoliopsida; Fagales; Fagaceae. The transcript is spliced from 6 exons. The record is from RefSeq and is a predicted model, not a curated record.